GCUAUUGUAGUGGAAUCGGUUAGCACAACAGAUCGGACAUCUGUUGAUGCCGGUUCGAGUCCCGCCUGAGGUU
RNAcentral lists this transfer RNA (73 nucleotides) under Dictyocaulus viviparus (bovine lungworm). It matches the Rfam family "tRNA". From Rfam's summary of the family: Transfer RNA (tRNA) molecules are approximately 80 nucleotides in length. Their secondary structure includes four short double-helical elements and three loops (D, anti-codon, and T loops). Lineage: Eukaryota; Metazoa; Nematoda; Chromadorea; Rhabditida; Metastrongylidae. The record is from Rfam by way of RNAcentral.